This 465-nucleotide ribosomal RNA is filed under the name Vreelandella stevensii. RNAcentral describes it as "partial 16S ribosomal RNA". It matches the Rfam family "Bacterial small subunit ribosomal RNA", at positions 338 to 795 of the family's 1533-position model. The record is from RNAcentral. Lineage: Bacteria; Pseudomonadati; Pseudomonadota; Gammaproteobacteria; Oceanospirillales; Halomonadaceae.
CCUACGGGAGGCUGCAGUGGGGAAUAUUGGACAAUGGGGGGAACCCUGAUCCAGCCAUGCCGCGUGUGUGAAGAAGGCCCUCGGGUUGUAAAGCACUUUCAGUGAGGAAGAACGCCUGGUGGUUAAUACCCAUCAGGAAAGACAUCACUCACAGAAGAAGCACCGGCUAACUCCGUGCCAGCAGCCGCGGUAAUACGGAGGGUGCGAGCGUUAAUCGGAAUUACUGGGCGUAAAGCGCGCGUAGGUGGCUUGAUAAGCCGGUUGUGAAAGCCCCGGACUCAACCUGGGAACGGCAUCCGGAACUGUCAAGCUAGAGUGCAGGAGAGGAAGGUAGAAUUCCCGGUGUAGCGGUGAAAUGCGUAGAGAUCGGGAGGAAUACCAGUGGCGAAGGCGGCCUUCUGGACUGACACUGACACUGAGGUGCGAAAGCGUGGGUAGCAAACAGGAUUAGAUACCCUUGUAGUC